GGACCUAUAGUUUCAGCGGUUAAAAUACUCCCCUGUCACGGGAGCGUCACGAGUUCGAAUCUCGUUAGGUCCG
This is a transfer RNA of 73 nucleotides. It matches the Rfam family "tRNA". Rfam says of the family: Transfer RNA (tRNA) molecules are approximately 80 nucleotides in length. Their secondary structure includes four short double-helical elements and three loops (D, anti-codon, and T loops). The record is from Rfam.